UACGUAGGGGGCAAGCGUUGUCCGGAAUCAUUGGGCGUAAAGCGCGCGUAGGCGGCCCGGUAAGUCCGUUGUGAAAGUCAAAGGCUCAACCUUUGAAUGCCGAUGGAUACUGCCGGGCUAGAGUCCGGAAGAGGCGAGUGGAAUUCCUGGUGUAGCGGUGGAAUGCGCAGAUAUCAGGAGGAGCACCGAUAGCGAAGGCAGCUCGCUGGGACGGUACUGACGCUGAGGCGCGAAAGCGUGGGGAGCGAACAGG
RNAcentral lists this ribosomal RNA (253 nucleotides) under uncultured bacterium. RNAcentral describes it as "partial 16S ribosomal RNA". It matches the Rfam family "Bacterial small subunit ribosomal RNA", at positions 524 to 776 of the family's 1533-position model. The record is from RNAcentral.